ACUCCUGCGGGAGGCAGCAGUGGGGAAUAUUGGACAAUGGGCGCAAGCCUGAUCCAGCCAUGCCGCGUGAGUGAUGAAGGCCCUAGGGUUGUAAAGCUCUUUCACCGGUGAAGAUAAUGACGGUAACCGGAGAAGAAGCCCCGGCUAACUUCGUGCCAGCAGCCGCGGUAAUACGAAGGGGGCUAGCGUUGUUCGGAUUUACUGGGCGUAACGCGCACGUAGGCGGACUAUUAAGUCAGGGGUGAAAUCCCGGGGCUCAACCCCGGAACUGCCUUUGAUACUGGUAGUCUUGAGUUCGAGAGAGGUGAGUGGAAUUCCGAGUGGAGAGGUGAAAUUCGUAGAUAUUCGGAGGAACACCAGUGGCGAAGGCGGCUCACUGGCUCGAUACUGACGCUGAGGUGCGAAAGCGUGGGGAGCAAACAGGAUUAGAAACCCGUGUAGUCCC
This 445-nucleotide ribosomal RNA is filed under the name uncultured organism. RNAcentral describes it as "partial 16S ribosomal RNA". It matches the Rfam family "Bacterial small subunit ribosomal RNA", at positions 335 to 797 of the family's 1533-position model. The record is from RNAcentral.